RNAcentral lists this long non-coding RNA (1086 nucleotides) under Helianthus annuus (common sunflower). RNAcentral's name for it is "sRNA HanXRQr2_Chr14g0628011". The record is from RNAcentral. Lineage: Eukaryota; Viridiplantae; Streptophyta; Magnoliopsida; Asterales; Asteraceae.
UUCGAAUUAUUGCCCGAGGAGGGGCUCACACCUGGUUAGCUAGUUGGUGAGAUAAUAGCUUACCAAGGCUUAAACUCAACCCGAAACACGUUGAUACUCCUCCUUUAACCUCCCGUGCAAACCAUGACCUCCAAACCCGACCCGAAUGUUUCUCCGGUAUACACGACCGUUUGACUUCAUUCCGGUGCCAUUUGGUUCAGUUUUUAUGGCAAGUAAAGAUCCCUAUCAAUGAAUCAUCCACUAACAAUCCAUAAUUAACACCAUUAGAUCGAAUUUAUACUCCAUUAAAGCAUCCUUAUUAUUAUCAAGCACACAAUUGGGUUCUCUAUCAAAACAAGAAAUUGGUUUGUAAAACUUGUACUCGCUGAACUCUUGACACUUUAUACACCAAACCCCAUUGAGAUUUCCUCAUUUCAUCAACCAUGUAUCGCGAAUCAAUCCGAAGAAGUUUAUAGGGCUCGUAUUUUCAAACAAUGAUUUCUCCUUCAAUUCUUAUCCAAAUCAGACUUGUAUUGGGCCCCCAACUUGAUAAUGCAAUCAACAGGUCGUUAGGUGCUUAGAUGGAGCUUGCACAGGAGGACGGGAUCGUUGUGGGACAUGGACUGUUGAGUUCCAUGUUAAACUUAUGAACUUUUAAACUUACGUUUUGGGUUUUGAACUUUAUGCUUCCGCUGAUAACUUGAACUUGUUGAAUUGUUUGACACUAAUUAUAUUGUUUGGUUUGGACUUUUAUUUACUUAAUUAUUUAUGGUUCAAUACGAUUGGUGGCUAGAUUUUGGUCAGUCACGCCUCCUACAGUGAUACUCCGCUUGUGGAAUUUAAGAGUGUGACAUAAGGUUUGUGGGGGUUUGGUAUUGUAGAUAGUAUAAGAGUAAUUUAUUGGUUUUUACAUCAAUCAAAAUCAAUCAAAAUCAAUCAAAAUGUUGUUAAUUGCUAUGAAACAACAUACAUGAAAGUUAUGAGCGAACGAAGUUACUCUUUUCGUUUAGAUGAGAUUGCAAAACUGAAAGUUGAUGGUGUCAUUAAUCACUUUCCCGAUAUAUAUUAAUACCGACCACUGAGUAAUAUUUUGGAUUAUUAAUAUUC